UUACUAAAUACACAACUUUAAAAACACAAAAUGCAGUAUGGAAAUUUCUUAAAAUGAUUUUUGACGUAAGAAUCCCACUUUAACUAAAAGAACUUGUUUCAAAUAGCAAGUAGGUUAAGUUUAAACCAGUAUGUUUCUACUAUAAACCAUUUUCUACAAAUUUUCUCCUGUUCUUAAAUCUGAAAUAUAAAUGAAGGGAAGCUUGCCAAUUUUGGAUAGAAAUGAUCAAUCUGGACGAGCUUAGCAGGAGAUAGUAAAAUUACAGCGCUUCAGUUAGUGUGACAUCUCACGUGAAAAGAAAAUGCCUGAAGAGUCUCUGCACCAGAAAGGCUACGGUGGGGAGCGCUUUCUUCAAUCUACUUUCAGAAGCCGUCAGAAAUGAGCUUUUGAGCAAACAUCACCUGGCAGAACCCAACAUCCCGAGUAAACCCUGCUGCUGUCUGUGAACCUGACGUGACUUUAGGCUUUGAAAAUAAAAAUAAAAAGUCUUUUGCCCCCUGACCAAUAAAAUCAGAAACUUAAUUAAAAUGUCAUCAAGUUCUGUGUGCCAAGUUUGAAAUUUUCUUAAUAACAAUAACUGCAUUUGCAUUCAUUUCCAUCUUCAAAGCCUUUCCUAAACACGAAUUUUUCCAGCUCUUCAAGGGGAACAUCUGCAGAACAAGAGGGUAAAGUGCUAGGAAGCUCAGGUGCAGGCCUGCGGUCACGCACACCUCCCCCUC
Long non-coding RNA from Sapajus apella (tufted capuchin), 719 nucleotides. RefSeq lists it as uncharacterized. The transcript is spliced from 3 exons. The record is from RefSeq and is a predicted model, not a curated record. NCBI's taxonomy places the organism in Eukaryota, Metazoa, Chordata, Mammalia, Primates, Cebidae.